Ruditapes philippinarum (Manila clam) is the source of this 656-nucleotide long non-coding RNA. RefSeq lists it as uncharacterized. The record is from RefSeq and is a predicted model, not a curated record. The transcript has 2 exons. Lineage: Eukaryota; Metazoa; Mollusca; Bivalvia; Venerida; Veneridae.
AUAUACAUACAGUACAGAUAUCGAGGAAUAUGCAAAUUUCUGCGAGUAUCGAGUAAUCUCAAAAAGCGUGACUCCGAGUGGAUUAUAAAUUUCUCGGGUGAAAAAGAGUGACUCCGAGACAAAAACGAGUGACAAUUUUGUCCGCGGGACUCCGUGAAUCUCCGAGUCAAAAAGAGUGACUCCGAGAAAAUAAGACUGAUUUGAACAAUAUAGAACAGAGUUAAGAAGUUCGAUCUGCUAGGCAAUUCUACCGAUGUUGGCAGCACAAGAAAGGACAACAUUAAGGAAUUCAUUUAUGAAAUUCUACCGAUGUUUGCAGGGGGAAAACAACAGGUGUUGCGUCGUCUCAAAAAUAAAACCAUGAAUUAUAAAACAAGAACAUUGAGAUUGGCAGUGAUUUUUUAAAGGCAUGGCGGUCUUUUUCAAUCCACAUACGUACAUGUACAACGCAUGCCCGCUUGCUGUGACGAUCAAAUAUGUUCAUAUGCUAUUAUAAAAAUAUUGUUUUAUCGUCUAUGAACAGUACAUGUACGUGAAAUCGGAAGUAGUUUAAUCUUUGUCAAAACUGUUUUUUUAUUUUUAUAAAAUGACAUGAUAUAGAUGAUGUACAAACCAUAAACAAAUAAAACAAAAAGACAAAUAAAAUGAUCAUUUUA